CAUUUUAAGACCUAACCAGGAACGACUGCGAAAAAUGCAGCACAAAGUCGUUUUUCGCAGUCGCCCCUGGUUAGGUCUUAAAAUGUAUAUAUU
Molecule: non-coding RNA, 93 nt
Organism: Paramuricea clavata
Lineage: Eukaryota; Metazoa; Cnidaria; Anthozoa; Malacalcyonacea; Plexauridae
Source: the annotation of a GenBank genome assembly